CGUACCUGGCCGUCGGCUCCCCCCGUCUGUGAAACUCCUUCGACGAGUCGAGUUGUUUGGGAAUGUCAGCUCUAAAUUGGUGGUAAAUUCCAUCUAGAAGCUAAAUACCGGCCAGAGACCGAUAGCGGCACAAGUAGAGUGAUCCGAAAGAUCAGAAAAGCACUCUUGAAAAGAGAGUUAAAAAGUACGUGAAAUUGUUGAAAGGGAAGCGCUUGCGGCCAGACUUGCCCGCGGUUGCUCAGCCCGCCUUUUGGCGGGUGCACUCUUCCGCGGUCAGGCCAGCAUCGGUUUGGGCGGUCGGAUAAAGGCGUUGGGAACGUGGCCUCCCCUCGGGGAGGUGUUAUAGCCCGGCGCGCAAUGCGACCAGCCCGGACCGAGGUUUCGCGCUUUGCUAGGAUGCUGGCGUAAUGGCCGUAAGCGGCCCGUCUUGAAAACACGGACCAAGGAGUCUAACAUCUAUGCGAGUGUUUGGGUGUCAAACCCGUGCGCGUAAUGAAAGUGAACGGAGGUGGGAACCGCAAGGUGCACCAUCGACCGAUCCUGAUGUCUUCGGAAGGAUUUGAGUAAGAGCAUAGCUGUUGGGACCCGAAAGAUGGUGAACUAUGCGUGAAUAGUGGGUGAAG
This 623-nucleotide ribosomal RNA is filed under the name Dematophora sp. RNAcentral describes it as "partial large subunit ribosomal RNA". It matches the Rfam family "Eukaryotic large subunit ribosomal RNA", at positions 222 to 851 of the family's 3401-position model. Lineage: Eukaryota; Fungi; Ascomycota; Sordariomycetes; Xylariales; Xylariaceae. The record is from RNAcentral.